RNAcentral lists this ribosomal RNA (661 nucleotides) under uncultured Actinomycetales bacterium. RNAcentral describes it as "bacterial SSU rRNA". It matches the Rfam family "Bacterial small subunit ribosomal RNA", at positions 60 to 734 of the family's 1533-position model. The record is from RNAcentral. Lineage: Bacteria; Bacillati; Actinomycetota; Actinomycetes; Actinomycetales.
AGUCGAACGGAAAGGCCCUGCUUGCAGGGUACUCGAGUGGCGAACGGGUGAGUAACACGUGGGUGAUCUGCCCUGCACUUCGGGAUAAGCUUGGGAAACUGGGUCUAAUACCGGAUAGGACCGCACUUUAGUGUGUGUGGUGGAAAGUUUUUUCGGUGUAGGAUGAGCUCGCGGCCUAUCAGUUUGUUGGUGGGGUAAUGGCCUACCAAGGCGGCGACGGGUAGCCGGCCUGAGAGGGUGUACGGCCACAUUGGGACUGAGAUACGGCCCAGACUCCUACGGGAGGCAGCAGUGGGGAAUAUUGCACAAUGGGCGCAAGCCUGAUGCAGCGACGCCGCGUGGGGGAUGAAGGCCUUCGGGUUGUAAACUCCUUUCGCUAGGGACGAAGCUUUUCGUGACGGUACCUAGAUAAGAAGCACCGGCUAACUACGUGCCAGCAGCCGCGGUAAUACGUAGGGUGCGAGCGUUGUCCGGAAUUACUGGGCGUAAAGGGCUCGUAGGUGGUUUGUCGCGUCGUCUGUGAAAUUCUGGGGCUUAACUCCGGGCGUGCAGGCGAUACGGGCAUAACUUGAGUGCUGUAGGGGUAACUGGAAUUCCUGGUGUAGCGGUGAAAUGCGCAGAUAUCAGGAGGAACACCGAUGGCGAAGGCAGGUUACUGGGC